UGGAUUAAGAGCUUGCUCUUAUGAAGUUAGCGGCGGACGGGUGAGUAACACGUGGGUAACCUGCCCAUAAGACUGGGAUAACUCCGGGAAACCGGGGCUAAUACCGGAUAACAUUUUGAACCGCAUGGUUCGAAAUUGAAAGGCGGCUUCGGCUGUCACUUAUGGAUGGACCCGCGUCGCAUUAGCUAGUUGGUGAGGUAACGGCUCACCAAGGCAACGAUGCGUAGCCGACCUGAGAGGGUGAUCGGCCACACUGGGACUGAGACACGGCCCAGACUCCUACGGGAGGCAGCAGUAGGGAAUCUUCCGCAAUGGACGAAAGUCUGACNGAACAACGCCGCGUGAGNGAUGAAGGCUUUCGGG
This 363-nucleotide ribosomal RNA is filed under the name Bacillus cereus. Its description in RNAcentral is "bacterial SSU rRNA". It matches the Rfam family "Bacterial small subunit ribosomal RNA", at positions 68 to 422 of the family's 1533-position model. Lineage: Bacteria; Bacillati; Bacillota; Bacilli; Caryophanales; Bacillaceae. The record is from RNAcentral.